ACAGCUCAGAUUUGAAAUCUGGCCCCCAGGGUCCAAGUUGUAAUUUGCAGAGGAUGCUUUUGGCGAGGUGCCUUCCGAGUUCCCUGGAACGGGACGCCAUAGAGGGUGAGAGCCCCGUCUGGUUGGAUACCGAGCCUCUGUAAAGCUCCUUCGACGAGUCGAGUAGUUUGGGAAUGCUGCUCUAAAUGGGAGGUAUAUGUCUUCUAAAGCUAAAUAUUGGCCAGAGACCGAUAGCGCACAAGUAGAGUGAUCGAAAGAUGAAAAGCACUUUGAAAAGAGGGUUAAAUAGUACGUGAAAUUGUUGAAAGGGAAGCGCUUGUGACCAGACUUGGGCCCGGUGAAUCAUCCAGCGUUCUCGCUGGUGCACUUUGCCGGGCUCAGGCCANCAUCAGUUUGCUUCGGGGGAUAAAGGCUUUGGGAAUGUGGCUCCUCCGGGAGUGUUAUAGCCCAUUGCAUAAUACCCUGAGGCGGACUGAGGUUCGCGCCUUCGGGCAAGGAUGCUGGCGUAAUGGUCAUCAGCGACCCGUCUUGAAACACGGACCAAGGAGUCGUCUUCGUAUGCGAGUGUUCGGGUGUAAAACCCCUACGCGUAAUGAAAGUGAACGCAUGUGAGAGCUUCGGCGCAUCAUCNACCGAUCCUGAUGUUCUCGGAUGGAUUUGAGUAAGAGCAUACGG
RNAcentral lists this ribosomal RNA (675 nucleotides) under soil fungal sp. DM239. RNAcentral's name for it is "eukaryotic LSU rRNA". It matches the Rfam family "Eukaryotic large subunit ribosomal RNA", at positions 104 to 807 of the family's 3401-position model. Lineage: Eukaryota; Fungi. The record is from RNAcentral.